Molecule: long non-coding RNA, 581 nt
Organism: Camellia sinensis
Lineage: Eukaryota; Viridiplantae; Streptophyta; Magnoliopsida; Ericales; Theaceae
Source: RefSeq, a predicted model, not a curated record
CUUUUUGUCAAAAAAAGAGGGUUUGGCUGGUGAAGGGUGCUGGAGAGCUUAGAAAGAGAGAGAACUCAAAGAGUGUAGAGAGAGAAACCCAUAUUUGGGUGAAAGAUUGGAAGAAGGAAGAGCCAUUGUAAGAGGAGCUCAAGAAAUUCUACAAAAUCAAAAUUUUAGGGUCAACUACAAGGUUGAACCAGGCAUCUGAACACUGAUAAUUUCUGGUGACUAAGCCAAUUUGGAUUAUUAAUCUAUAAAUAAUGAUGAUGAGUUAAACAUCUAUGGUGAGAUUUUAGUGAUAAGGAUGCUACUUGAAGACAAAGAUUGAAGGAGACAAAACUAUAUAAUUUGAUUGCGGUACAAGCGAUACAAGUUUGGAGGACCAAACUUCCUAAAGGAGGGAAGAAUGUGAUAACCCAACCAGCAAUAAACUUAAUUACACAUGUGAUUAUGUGUUUGAUAUAAAUUUGUAUGUUUAAUUAUGUGAGUUCUUAUAUGAUUAUGAAUUUAUAACUGUUGGGUGUAGAAAAAAAAAUUUGUUGCAAUUGGAACCUUGAACUGAAAAUUUAUAGCCUUAGAGACGCCAAAAA